CUGCGAAUGGCUCAUUAAAUCAGUUAUCGUUUAUUUGAUAGUACCUUACUACUUGGAUAACCGUGGUAAUUCUAGAGCUAAUACAUGCUAAAAACCUCGACUUCGGGAGGGGUGUAUUUAUUAGAUAAAAAACCAAUGCCCUUCGGGGCUCCUUGGUGAUUCAUAAUAACUUAACGAAUCGCAUGGCCUUGCGCCGGCGAUGGUUCAUUCAAAUUUCUGCCCUAUCAACUUUCGAUUGUUGGGUCUUGGCCAACAAUGGUAGCAACGGGUAACGGGGAAUUAGGGUUCGAUUCCGGAGAGGGAGCCUGAGAAACGGCUACCACAUCCAAGGAAGGCAGCAGGCGCGCAAAUUACCCAAUGCCGACACGGCGAGGUAGUGACAAUAAAUACUGAUACAGGGCUCUUUUGGGUCUUGUAAUUGGAAUGAGUACAAUUUAAAUCCCUUAACGAGGAACAAUUGGAGGGCAAGUCUGGUGCCAGCAGCCGCGGUAAUUCCAGCUCCAAUAGCGUAUAUUAAAGUUGUUGCAGUUAAAAAGCUCGUAGUUGAACCUUGGGCCUGGCUGGCCGGUCCGCCUCACCGCGUGCACUGGUCCGGCCGGGCCUUUCCUCCUGGGGAACCGCAUGCCCUUCACUGGGUGUGCCGGGGAAUCAGGACUUUUACUGUGAAAAAAUUAGAGUGUUCAAAGCAGGCCUAUGCCCGAAUACAUUAGCAUGGAAUAAUAGAAUAUGACGAAAGUCUUAUUUUGUUGGUUUCUAGGACUGUCGUAAUGAUUAAUAGGGAUGGUCGGGGGCGUCAGUAUUGUCGAGCAAGAGGUGAAAUUCUUGGAUUUCGACAAGACUAACUACUGCGAAAGCAUUCGCCAAGGAUGKUUUCAUUAAUCAGUGRACGAAAGUUAGGGGAUCGAAGACGAUCAGAUACCGUCGUAGUCUUAACCAUAAACUAUGCCGACUAGGGAUCGGGCGAUG
This 966-nucleotide ribosomal RNA is filed under the name Diplocarpa constans. Its description in RNAcentral is "SSU rRNA". Lineage: Eukaryota; Fungi; Ascomycota; Leotiomycetes; Helotiales; Cordieritidaceae. The record is from RNAcentral.